CAUGACACGCACUAAACUAAAGAUACACAGGAAAGAAGACUUCCAGAAUUGUUUCAGAAAAUUGUAAGAAAAACAGGAUGAGUGUGUUGGAAGGAAAGGUAAGAAGUAAAGCCUAAAGUUGAAUAACUUUUCCAGAGUCACAGACAGUAAGUGGCAGAGAUGGAUUUAACCAUUUCAAGGUUUUUUACCCUGUCAUCCCCAUACUGGUUCUGAUUCAUCAAGGCCAACUUUGCUUUGAUUUCCAUCCCCUGUGAUCCUGAGAUGAUUUAAAAGGGUCAAACCACCAAUCCUAUAAGAAGAGGCUGUAAAACUUGAACAAGACUGUAAAGUGACUCAGGAACACAUGAAUGCUAAAGUACUUUCUACUCUUUCAGUAUCCUAAAGUCUUAUGCUUUUU
Heterocephalus glaber (naked mole-rat) is the source of this 397-nucleotide long non-coding RNA. The record is from Ensembl. Lineage: Eukaryota; Metazoa; Chordata; Mammalia; Rodentia; Bathyergidae.